CCUGCAGAGCCUGCUCACACUGACGGACUUCAUCAAACACGUCAGCAGCCAGGAGGAGGUGUGGUGUUCAUUGCGUGAGGCUAAACUGAUCAGAAAACUUAUAGACAUCUUGAGGUGCCACAGAUCCAUGGACUCCAGCCUCAAACUCAAGGCGCUCUAUUCAUUCAAGAGGGCAGUCUCUAAACGGGCUCCAGAGUUCAAGGAUCAUCACCAGAAAGACGCUCAUGAAUUCCUGACAACCAUCCUGGAUCAAAUCAGGAGUUCCCCCCUACUGCAGGGAGUAGCUGCCUGUGAGGACAAAAGCUACACAUGCCCUGUUGAGGACCACCUUCAGAAUGCAGAACACUAGGACCUGUAAAAGUUGUGGUGCCCAGUCUACCAGGCAGGAAGACUUCAGCAGCCUGCCUCUGAAUCUUGCACCUGGAGGUUCAGUCCAGCAGAUGCUCCAGGAUUACCUAAUGGUAAGAUCCAACUAUGCCCCUUCAAUGACAGCACAACAUGGCCAAAUCAAAUUGUUAUCAGCAGAAUCCAUUAGAUUUCUGAAGACCAGUCCCAAAACAUGCAUGGCAUGACAUUCAUGCAUUUUCACUGUAGUUUACAGUGAGUAGUUUAUAAUUUAUAAUUAUUGAAUACCAGAAUUCUCGGAUCACCACACAAUGGCCAUUAUGGAAGAUUUUGGCAUCUAACAAUUCCAAAUUGGUACAGUAAAGAGGCAUGAAUGCUGCCCAACUGUGUCAGCCUUUCCACAAGGUCCCCAUGUCAUGAACACAUGGGGACCUGGUCUUCAAGGAUGGCAGUGGUUAAUUAUUUUUCUUAAGAGUAACUACUAGAGCUGAAGCACUAAGUGCUGAUUUAGAGUGUAGAAUAUGGUUAAUGUUCUAAUUUUUAGUUGUAAGUGGUGCCUACUCUGCUUAAAACUGAUUGCUGAAGUGAACUCACAUGUUUACUGUGCAGAGCUGAGCACUAAUGAUGUAAAGUAUAAAUACUGUUGUUAGUGUUCUAAAUUUCAUUGUGAUGAUUGUGCUAAGUCUUAUUAAAACCGAUGACUACACAGAACACUGAGCUGAGUCUAUUUUUUUAAAUUCUAUUUUAC
This is a long non-coding RNA of Centropristis striata (black sea bass), 1093 nucleotides long. RefSeq lists it as uncharacterized. The record is from RefSeq and is a predicted model, not a curated record. NCBI's taxonomy places the organism in Eukaryota, Metazoa, Chordata, Actinopteri, Perciformes, Serranidae. The transcript has 4 exons.